Molecule: long non-coding RNA, 454 nt
Organism: Tachyglossus aculeatus (Australian echidna)
Lineage: Eukaryota; Metazoa; Chordata; Mammalia; Monotremata; Tachyglossidae
Exons: 2
Source: RefSeq, a predicted model, not a curated record
UUGAUGUUGCCACACGAGAAAUGAGUAUCUGAAGCUGUAAAGAUACUCUUAUUAUUGCAUCAUGGAAUGUAUGAAGUAUGAACCAGGACAAGGAACCAGAGGAAAUGUGGAUGGAGAUUAAAAAUGCCAUCAAGGAAGAAAGUGACACAAUAUUAUAAAAGGAUAGAAAGAAGAAAAUGCCAAAAUGGAUGUCAAACAUAACUCGGAAAGUAGCCAAGAAAGGGAAGUAAGCAAAACAUCAGAGAACAAAAUAACCUGGUUAAUGAACUGAACUGAGAAAUCCAGCGUUCUACCACGAAGGACAAACAGGAAUAUUAUAACAGCAUAUGGAAAGAAAUGGAAGUCAGUGACAAAAUGGGCAGACAAGAGCACUAUUUCAGAAGAUUAAGGAAAUUAAGGGAAUGUGUCGUCCUCGGAUUGACUUUGUCAAAAUAAAGAUUAAUUUAUGCUCCAA